Molecule: RNA transcript, 326 nt
Organism: Propithecus coquereli (Coquerel's sifaka)
Lineage: Eukaryota; Metazoa; Chordata; Mammalia; Primates; Indriidae
Gene name: acyl-CoA-binding protein pseudogene
Exons: 1
Source: RefSeq, a predicted model, not a curated record
AUGCUGUUCAUCUACGGCCACUACAAACAAGCGACUGUGGGCAAUGUAAAUACAGGAUGGCCUGGGAUGUUGGACUUCAAAGGCAAGGCCAAGUGGGAUGCCUGGAAUGAGCUGAAAGGGACUACCAAGGAAGAUGCCAUGAAAGCUUACAUCAACAAAGUAGAAGAGCUAAAGAAAAAAUAUGGAAUAUAAGAGACUGGAUUUGGCUGCCAACCAUGCAUUUAACCUAACCUGAUUCGAUGCCUUGUUUUUUCUAGUACUGUGGAUGAUGUGAAAUAGUGAAAACAGCCAGGUAACCCAGUUCCUCAAGGCUGUUCAGGAUACGG